Molecule: ribosomal RNA, 497 nt
Filed under: uncultured bacterium
Lineage: Bacteria
Description: partial 16S ribosomal RNA
Rfam family: Bacterial small subunit ribosomal RNA
Source: RNAcentral
GAUGAACGCUGGCGGCGUGCCUAAUACAUGCAAGUCGAGCGAACAGACGAGGAGCUUGCUCCUCUGACGUCAGCGGCGGACGGGUGAGUAACACGUGGAUAACCUACCUAUAAGACUGGGAUAACUUCGGGAAACCGGAGCUAAUACCGGAUAAUAUAUUGAACCGCAUGGUUCAAUAGUUAAAGACGGUUUUGCUGUCACUUAUAGAUGGAUCCGCGCCGCAUUAGCUAGUUGGUAAGGUAACGGCUUACCAAGGCAACGAUGCGUAGCCGACCUGAGAGGGUGAUCGGCCACACUGGAACUGAGACACGGUCCAGACUCCUACGGGAGGCAGCAGUAGGGAAUCUUCCGCAAUGGGCGAAAGCUUGACGGAGCAACGCCGCGUGAGUGAUGAAGGUCUUCGGAUCGUAAAACUCUGUUAUUAGGGAAGAACAAAUGUGUAAGUAACUAUGCACGUCUUGACGGUACCUAAUCAGAAAGCCACGGCUAACUACGUG